RNAcentral lists this ribosomal RNA (497 nucleotides) under uncultured bacterium. RNAcentral describes it as "partial 16S ribosomal RNA". It matches the Rfam family "Bacterial small subunit ribosomal RNA", at positions 28 to 507 of the family's 1533-position model. The record is from RNAcentral.
GAUGAACGCUGGCGGCGUGCCUAAUACAUGCAAGUCGAGCGAACAGACGAGGAGCUUGCUCCUCUGACGUUAGCGGCGGACGGGUGAGUAACACGUGGAUAACCUACCUAUAAGACUGGGAUAACUUCGGGAAACCGGAGCUAAUACCGGAUAAUAUAUUGAACCGCAUGGUUCAAUAGUGAAAGACGGUUUUGCUGUCACUUAUAGAUGGAUCCGCGCCGCAUUAGCUAGUUGGUAAGGUAACGGCUUACCAAGGCAACGAUGCGUAGCCGACCUGAGAGGGUGAUCGGCCACAUUGGAACUGAGACACGGUCCAGACUCCUACGGGAGGCAGCAGUAGGGAAUCUUCCACAAUGGGCGAAAGCCUGACGGAGCAACGCCGCGUGAGUGAUGAAGGUCUUCGGAUCGUAAAACUCUGUUAUUAGGGAAGAACAAAUGUGUAAGUAACUAUGCACGUCUUGACGGUACCUAAUCAGAAAGCCACGGCUAACUACGUG